This 327-nucleotide ribosomal RNA is filed under the name uncultured eukaryote. Its description in RNAcentral is "partial 18S ribosomal RNA". It matches the Rfam family "Eukaryotic small subunit ribosomal RNA", at positions 1470 to 1796 of the family's 1831-position model. The record is from RNAcentral.
CCCUUAGAUGUUCUGGGCCGCACGCGCGCUACACUGACGAAUGCAACGAGCUUAUAACCUUGGCCGAAAGGUCUGGGUAAUCUCCAAAUUUCGUCGUGAUGGGGAUAGAUUAUUGCAAUUAUUAAUCUUCAACGAGGAAUGCCUAGUAAGCGCAAGUCAUCAGCUUGCGUUGAUUACGUCCCUGCCCUUUGUACACACCGCCCGCCGCUCCUACCGAUUGAAUGGUCCGGUGAAGCGUUCGGACCGUGGCCUUUGGACGGUUCGCCGUCUGUUGGCUGCGGGAAGUUCGUUAAACCUUAUCAUUUAGAGGAAGGAGAAGUCGUANCA